GCACUGCUGACAAGUCCCAAAACAAGACGAAACAGCUGUCCAGUGC
RNAcentral lists this non-coding RNA (46 nucleotides) under Echinostoma caproni. The record is from RNAcentral. Lineage: Eukaryota; Metazoa; Platyhelminthes; Trematoda; Plagiorchiida; Echinostomatidae.